This 709-nucleotide ribosomal RNA is filed under the name uncultured Arthrobacter sp. RNAcentral's name for it is "bacterial SSU rRNA". It matches the Rfam family "Bacterial small subunit ribosomal RNA", at positions 769 to 1470 of the family's 1533-position model. Lineage: Bacteria; Bacillati; Actinomycetota; Actinomycetes; Micrococcales; Micrococcaceae. The record is from RNAcentral.
CCUUAACAGGGAUUUUGAUACCCUGGUAGUCCAUGCCGUAAACGUUGGGCACUAGGUGUGGGGGACAUUCCACGUUUUCCGCGCCGUAGCUAACGCAUUAAGUGCCCCGCCUGGGGAGUACGGCCGCAAGGCUAAAACUCAAAGGAAUUGACGGGGGCCCGCACAAGCGGCGGAGCAUGCGGAUUAAUUCGAUGCAACGCGAAGAACCUUACCAAGGCUUGACAUGAACCGGUAAUACCUGGAAACAGGUGCCCCGCUUGCGGUCGGUUUACAGGUGGUGCAUGGUUGUCGUCAGCUCGUGUCGUGAGAUGUUGGGUUAAGUCCCGCAACGAGCGCAACCCUCGUUCUAUGUUGCCAGCGCGUUAUGGCGGGGACUCAUAGGAGACUGCCGGGGUCAACUCGGAGGAAGGUGGGGACGACGUCAAAUCAUCAUGCCCCUUAUGUCUUGGGCUUCACGCAUGCUACAAUGGCCGGUACAAAGGGUUGCGAUACUGUGAGGUGGAGCUAAUCCCAAAAAGCCGGUCUCAGUUCGGAUUGGGGUCUGCAACUCGACCCCAUGAAGUCGGAGUCGCUAGUAAUCGCAGAUCAGCAACGCUGCGGUGAAUACGUUCCCGGGCCUUGUACACACCGCCCGUCAAGUCACGAAAGUUGGUAACACCCGAAGCCGGUGGCCUAACCCCUUGUGGGAGGGAGCUUCGAAGUGAUCCCC